GGCCCUGUAGCUUAACGGAAGAGCGUUGGCUGUAUAUCAGCCAGCAGAUGCAAGUUCAAAUCUUGCCAGGGCCG
Non-coding RNA from Aspergillus carlsbadensis, 74 nucleotides. NCBI's taxonomy places the organism in Eukaryota, Fungi, Ascomycota, Eurotiomycetes, Eurotiales, Aspergillaceae. The record is from the annotation of a GenBank genome assembly.